UGGAAGUAAAAAAUCGUAACAAGGUCUCCGUUGGUGAACCAGCGGAGGGAUCAUUACUGAGUUUACGCUCUACAACCCUUUGUGAACAUACCUAUAACUGUUGCUUCGGCGGGUAGGGUCUCCGUGACCCUCCCGGCCUCCCGCCCCCGGGCGGGUCGGCGCCCGCCGGAGGAUAACCAAACUCUGAUUUAACGACGUUUCUUCUGAGUGGUACAAGCAAAUAAUCAAAACUUUUAACAACGGAUCUCUUGGUUCUGGCAUCGAUGAAGAACGCAGCGAAAUGCGAUAAGUAAUGUGAAUUGCAGAAUUCAGUGAAUCAUCGAAUCUUUGAACGCACAUUGCGCCCGCCAGCAUUCUGGCGGGCAUGCCUGUUCGAGCGUCAUUUCAACCCUCAAGCUCUGCUUGGUGUUGGGGCCCUACAGCUGAUGUAGGCCCUCAAAGGUAGUGGCGGACCCUCCCGGAGCCUCCUUUGCGUAGUAACUUUACGUCUCGCACUGGGAUCCGGAGGGACUCUUGCCGUAAAACCCCCCAAUUUCCAAAGGUGACCUCGGAUCAGGUAG
This 560-nucleotide ribosomal RNA is filed under the name Colletotrichum gloeosporioides. RNAcentral describes it as "eukaryotic LSU rRNA". The stretch from base 229 to 382 matches the Rfam family "5.8S ribosomal RNA". Lineage: Eukaryota; Fungi; Ascomycota; Sordariomycetes; Glomerellales; Glomerellaceae. The record is from RNAcentral.